RNAcentral lists this long non-coding RNA (678 nucleotides) under Homo sapiens (human). Its description in RNAcentral is "HSALNT0304043". The record is from RNAcentral. Lineage: Eukaryota; Metazoa; Chordata; Mammalia; Primates; Hominidae.
AGCGGCGGCGCGGCGGAGAGGCGGAUAGCGGCGGAGAGGCGGACAGCGGCGGCGCGGCGGAGAGACGGACAGCGGCGGAGAGGCGGACAGCGGCGGAGAGGCGGACAGCGGCGGCGCGGCGGAGAGACGGACAGCGGCGGAGAGGCGGACAGCGGCGGCGCGGCGGAGAGACGGAUAGCGGCGGAGAGGCGGACAGCGGCGGCGCGGCGGAGAGGCGGACAGCGGCGGAGAGCGGCGGCGCGGCGGAGAGGCGGACAGCGGCGGCGCGGCGGAGAGACGGACAGCGGCGGAGAGGCAGACAGCGGCGGCGAGGCGCGCAGCGGCGGCGCAGGCGCGGAGAGGCGCUGGCGCCGGCUCUGGCGCGGAGAGGUGCAGGCCCAGGCUCCACUCCCCAGCUGUGAAAGGGUGAAACGGAACCUACUGGAAUGAAGCUGGCCUCCCAUGGAAUGAAGCUGGCCUCCCGUCUCCUUGAUUUGAAGCAGCUUCUCCACGUUGGUUAUUAUGCCAUUUUUCUAAAUCUAACAUUUUAAAAUUUGUGCCUUUUCUUUCUCUUUUGCUUGACUUCUCAGAGGUUUUUUUAACGGUCUUUUCAAAGAAGUGGUUUUGGGUUUUAUUUAUCAAGUCUACUUUUAUUAUGGCUGUUUUAAAAUUAAAUACAUUUAUUUCUUGUUUCCCUUA